This 23-nucleotide microRNA is filed under the name Gallus gallus (chicken). RNAcentral's name for it is "gga-miR-1586". The record is from miRBase by way of RNAcentral. Lineage: Eukaryota; Metazoa; Chordata; Aves; Galliformes; Phasianidae.
CAGUCAGCUGUGGGUGGGUGGCA